CAGCCGCCGCGGUAAUACGAAGGGUGCAAGCGUUAAUCGGAAUUGCUGGGCGUAAAGCGUGCGUAGGCGGUGAGUUAAGUCUGCUGUGAAAUCCCCGGGCUCAACCUGGGAAUGGCAGUGGAUACUGGCUCGCUAGAGUGUGUCAGAGGAUGGUGGAAUUCCCGGUGUAGCGGUGAAAUGCGUAGAGGUCGGGAGGAACAUCAGUGGCGAAGGCGGCCAUCUGGGACAACACUGACGCUGAGGCACGAAAGCGUGGGGAGCAAACAGGAUUAGAUACCCGUGUAGUCCCUGUCUCUUAUAC
This 301-nucleotide ribosomal RNA is filed under the name uncultured bacterium. RNAcentral describes it as "partial 16S ribosomal RNA". It matches the Rfam family "Bacterial small subunit ribosomal RNA", at positions 509 to 807 of the family's 1533-position model. The record is from RNAcentral.